This 72-nucleotide transfer RNA is filed under the name Camelus bactrianus (Bactrian camel). It matches the Rfam family "tRNA". From Rfam's summary of the family: Transfer RNA (tRNA) molecules are approximately 80 nucleotides in length. Their secondary structure includes four short double-helical elements and three loops (D, anti-codon, and T loops). Further hydrogen bonds mediate the characteristic L-shaped molecular structure. tRNAs have two regions of fundamental functional importance: the anti-codon, which is responsible for specific mRNA codon recognition, and the 3' end, to which the tRNAs corresponding amino acid is attached (by aminoacyl-tRNA synthetases). tRNAs cope with the degeneracy of the genetic code in two manners: having more than one tRNA (with a specific anti-codon) for a particular amino acid; and 'wobble' base-pairing, i.e. permitting non-standard base-pairing at the 3rd anti-codon position. The record is from Rfam by way of RNAcentral. RNAcentral also lists the same sequence under 2 other names. Lineage: Eukaryota; Metazoa; Chordata; Mammalia; Artiodactyla; Camelidae.
GUGGGAAUAGCUCAGUGGUAGAGCCCGUGCUUAGCGUGCGCGAAGUCCUGGGUUCAAUCCCCAGUACCUCCA